GAUGAACGCUAGCGGGAGGCCUAACACAUGCAAGCCGAGCGGUAGAGUCUCUUCGGAGGCUUGAGAGCGGCGCACGGGUGCGGAACACGUGUGCAACCUGCCUUUAUCUGGGGGAUAGCCUUUCGAAAGGAAGAUUAAUACCCCAUAAUAUACUGGAUGGCAUCAUCUGGUAUUGAAAACUCCGGUGGAUAGAGAUGGGCACGCGCAAGAUUAGAUAGUUGGUGAGGUAACGGCUCACCAAGUCAGCGAUCUUUAGGGGGCCUGAGAGGGUGAUCCCCCACACUGGUACUGAGACACGGACCAGACUCCUACGGGAGGCAGCAGUGAGGAAUAGUGGACAAUGGGUGAGAGCCUGAUCCAGCCAUCCCGCGUGAAGGACGACGGCCCUAUGGGUUGUAAACUUCUUUUGUAUAGGGAUAAACCUAGAUACGUGUAUCUAGCUGAAGGUACUAUACGAAUAAGCACCGGCUAACUCCGUG
Molecule: ribosomal RNA, 479 nt
Filed under: uncultured bacterium
Lineage: Bacteria
Description: partial 16S ribosomal RNA
Rfam family: Bacterial small subunit ribosomal RNA
Source: RNAcentral